CCCCGAUCAGGAUUAUCAGAGAUGAUGAUUGUCGGUUCGGCCGGAUCGGUGACAGGUGCUGCAUGGCUGUCGUCAGCUCGUGUCGUGAGAUGUUGGGUUAAGUCCCGCAACGAGCGCAACCCUCGCCCUUAGUUGCCAUCAUUAAGUUGGGCACUCUAAGGGGACUGCCGGUGAUAAGCCGAGAGGAAGGUGGGGAUGACGUCAAGUCCUCAUGGCCCUUACGGGCUGGGCUACACACGUGCUACAAUGGUGGUGACAGUGGGCAGCGAGACCGCGAGGUCGAGCUAAUCUCCAAAAGCCAUCUCAGUUCGGAUUGCACUCUGCAACUCGAGUGCAUGAAGUUGGAAUCGCUAGUAAUCGUGGAUCAGCAUGCCACGGUGAAUACGUUCCCGGGCCUUGUACACACCGCCCGUCACACCA
Molecule: ribosomal RNA, 420 nt
Filed under: uncultured Hyphomicrobiales bacterium
Lineage: Bacteria; Pseudomonadati; Pseudomonadota; Alphaproteobacteria; Hyphomicrobiales
Description: bacterial SSU rRNA
Rfam family: Bacterial small subunit ribosomal RNA
Source: RNAcentral